Molecule: long non-coding RNA, 3236 nt
Organism: Schistocerca gregaria
Lineage: Eukaryota; Metazoa; Arthropoda; Insecta; Orthoptera; Acrididae
Exons: 4
Source: RefSeq, a predicted model, not a curated record
GACUCAGAUCCGUAAUUCCCAAUGUUGAGGGAAGAGUGUUAGGCACUGUACACGAACGUUCGAGUACUUUGAGGAGGAGAAUUGCUACCUGAGAGUGUGUUCUGAGUCGUAGCAGUGUGUAGCACAUUUUACAUCGGUGAGUACUCUGUCCGUAUCAUCUACAGCGAGUGCGUGCCCAUGACAAUGCAGACUUCUUUCCUAGAGAGAAUUUAUGCCUAAGGGUGCAACAACAUUAGCUUUUAACUACUUUUGACCUGUACUUUCCAUGUGUGAAUCAUUGGCUACAACUUCUGAAACACCCUGUAUAUUUGACAAGAUAUGCACUCAGCGUGCUAUUCAGUAACAAAAGUUAAGUGUCUUGUUGCCAUUUUGGUCACUGUAGAUUGAGAACUUUAACAUCUGGAUAAGGAUUGGAUUGAGAAUUGCUCACUUCUUCAAAGGAGUUAUCUCACCAUUAACUCUAAAUUAUCUAGGAAAAGUUAAGAGCACUGUAGCUGGUUCACUUUUCAAAACUCUUGGUUUACCUCACCUGGCAUAUCCUUUCGUGGAGUAAAUGUUAUUGUAUUAGAGGAAGGCAAACUCGUAAGAGAUUAGCUGCCGCCGAAGUCUGUUCUUGAGCUCAGUAUUUGAUCUGAACAUUCAAUUGUGCAGCAAAUGUAAUUUGCUGAUAACGUUAGUUAAAGAGAGACAGAGUAUUUCUGUAGUAAUGGGUUACUACUCAUUUGUUUUGGAAGUGGAGGCUGUGUAGCUAUUGUAUUCACACCCUCAGUAUUUUGUUUAGUUUCUGUUAGGAGUUUGGAGGAAUAUUUUAGAUUACAAUUUUUAAACUUUUAAGAUGCUUUACCAAGUCCAUACCUGCUGUCUUAAUUUUGUUUUGUACUGAUGUUUCGCUCAGACAAAAACAUUUGUGGACCUUUUUAAUUGUAUCUCACUGCAAAAAUUAAAAUACUCUUUUACUAGUGAGCAAAUCCUUCGCAGGAUAAAGCCAGCAUACGACAAGAAAUGUGGGUCGAAUAAUGACGAGCAUCAGGCACUGUCAUAACAAUACAGACUCGGUGAUAUUUGCAUCUUAAAAUCUGAGCAAUCUUCUCUUGCUUGCAACACUAACUUAGAUCUGUUGUUAAUGAGGUUUGUGGGACAGUCUCAACCCAAGCCACUCGAUCACGUAACGGCUAAUUGUAAAGCGAGAGGGACAUCUAAACUGUCGUGAGGAAUUUUUAUAGACAGCAAAAUGAGUCGAACUCGAGAUGCACAUUUACAAUCUCACACCCUGACACACCACUAGAGAAGACAAAACAAAAUGGUACGGCACAACAAUUAGAUAGUGUAUUGUGCAAUAAUUUGUUUUCGGCAACACCAGAAAUGUUCCGGCCUUGCCAGGCCGAUCCAGAGAACUAAAGAAGUCAUUUGGGUCGGCCUUACAGAGUUGCCACAUUUCUGCUACUGCCAAAAACGAAUUUGGCACAAUACACCACUUUAUCGACAGACUGUACCAUUGCGCUUUGGUUCCUCUAGGGGUUGUACUGUGGGGUGGGGAUUUCGACACGUACCGGGACUGCGCGGACACUGCCGGCAUGGGAUUGCAAGAGAAAGCUGUUCAUUUCCAUUGGUCCCGAAGCCACAAAAGGACACGAAAUAUAACUGACGUUCAGAUAACUCAAAACUCACAGUAAGUAAUGCACAAAAAAAUGUGGUUGCUGCAGAGAUAAUUUUCCUGGUGUGACAUCUUUUAUAUCUGUAAUUCAUAAUCAAUUAGUGUGACAAAGAAAUCUACUCCAUUUUGUUUCCGUUAGUUUCUAAAUACCAAAGAGCACUGAACUGAAACGUUAUCUCCACAUGUUUGCAAAAAAAGCAGCUUCUUAUAAUUGCUGAACUGAAAUCUGAACUGCUUUUUUGACUUUCUUUUUCAUACAAUUUACAUCAAGCAAUCCCAUUCCUGAACUGAAAAAUAUUGUCAUGUAUUGCAUUCUGUUCUACAGGUCUUUUUUUUAAUUUUAUGCACUGAUUAGGUUCUGAACAAUUCGUGCACACAUUAAUUCAAAUGAACUAGUCUUGUUGUGUGCAUUUGAGAGGCAUAUAAAAUAACAGAAAAAUGUAGAUUGUCAAUUCCUUGUCUUUAAGGAUGGUGAUGUUUUGAACAGCAAAAGUACCAUGAUUUUUACAAGAUAAAUUGAUGAAACUCAGGAAUUCAACUAAAAACAGAUAUGAGCAUUUUCGUGCAUUGUUUUACUGUGAACAGUGGAUUUCCAAUUCCAAUAUCUGAUCACAAAUGUUAAAGCUGUAAAACAGAAAUGCACACUGUAUAUUGUACAUAAACAAGUGACCAAGUGAUUUGGAAAAUAUUUUUAAUGUGAAUAGUCACUGUCUCUUGUUCUGUUAAGAGUAGUCUUUUCUUGUACAGGAAGAGAAAUAGCUCAAAUUAAGACUUUGUUAUUCUUAGCUGAGAAGGUGAAUGCUGAAGCAAAUGUGACAGCAGUAUUGUACUUUAUUGCAAAAAUUUGCAACAUAAUAGAAUAUUUAUGGCUGAAACUUUUCUCAAAAUUCAACACAGGCAUCUUCUCAUUAUGCACAAUUCACACCCUGAUUUCUGAUGCAUAACUUUAGCCUGUAACCUGAUGUCGUGGAGAAGUAUGAAGACCACAAUGCAAUCUUUGCUAGUGCUAUUCAGUACUGUUGUAGCUAAGGGUUGACUCCUGGCUGUGCCUAUGUGUAGAAAUUCUUGGAGAGAAAUAUUUAGAUUCCUAUCUCCUAUAAAAAUAAAUAGUCUGUCAUGAGACUAUAUCCUGUUAGAACUACAGUGUUUUCCUGGCAAAGUUGGUCAACAUAGUAGGGAACUAUAUGUUGAAAACAGCAUAUAAUGUAUGAGGGUGCCCUUUAAGUCGCCAAAUUAUAUCAUAAAGAUAACACGGUGGAUUUAAUCUUACAAGAGACUAUAUUUAUAGGAACUGGGAAUCUAAAUGUUUCUCUGCUAAACUUUGGACUGUGGGCGUUAUCUCAAGUUUGCACAAUGAUUUUAGUGCAGUGGCAUUACUGGUGACCACCUUCAGCAGCUGUUAAGUGUAAAAUGUAACAUUUUAUUUAAGUUCAAUUACUGUUGUCAAGUGUAUGUAUCGCUAUAUCCCUACUGAUAAUGUGGGAGGCCUAAGAGUGAUGGGAAAUAUUAGUGAAUGGUAUCACAUUCUACAUCACACUGUGUGUUCUUAUGUUUUUGUGAUCUUCCCUCCAUGUUUUAUCCA